Molecule: ribosomal RNA, 253 nt
Filed under: uncultured bacterium
Lineage: Bacteria
Description: partial 16S ribosomal RNA
Rfam family: Bacterial small subunit ribosomal RNA
Source: RNAcentral
GACGUAGGAUGCAAGCGUUGUCCGGAUUUAUUGGGCGUAAAGAGUUCGUAGGCGGUUCGUUAAGUCUGAUGUUAAAGAUCGGGGCUCAACCUCGGGAGUGCAUUGGAUACUGGCGAGCUGGAGUGCGGUAGAGGUAAGUGGAAUUCCCAGUGUAGCGGUGAAAUGCGUAGAUAUUGGGAAGAACACCAGUGGCGUAGGCGACUUACUGGGCCGUAACUGACGCUGAGGAACGAAAGCCAGGGGAGCAAAUGGG